CCUACGGGAGGCAGCAGUGAGGAAUAUUGGUCAAUGGGCGUAAGCCUGAACCAGCCAAGUCGCGUGAGGGAUGAAGGCUCUAUGGAUCGUAAACCUCUUUUAUAAGGGAAUAAAGUGCGGGACGUGUCCCGCUUUGUAUGUACCUUAUGAAUAAGGAACGGCUAACUCCGUGCCAGCAGCCGCGGUAAUACGGAGGAUCCGAGCGUUAUCCGGAUUUAUUGGGUUUAAAGGGUGCGUAGGCGGCAUGUUAAGUCAGCGGUGAAAGUCUGUGGCUCAACCAUAGAAUUGCGGUUGAAACUGGGAGGCUGGAGUGUGUGAGAGGCAGGCGGAAUUCGUGGUGUAGCGGUGAAAUGCUUAGAUAUCACGCAGAACCCCGAUUGCGAAGGCAGCCUGCCGGGCCAUGACUGACGCUGAGGCGCGAAAGCGUGGGGAUCAAACAGGAUUAGAUACCCGAGUAGUC
This 460-nucleotide ribosomal RNA is filed under the name uncultured bacterium. RNAcentral's name for it is "partial 16S ribosomal RNA". It matches the Rfam family "Bacterial small subunit ribosomal RNA", at positions 338 to 795 of the family's 1533-position model. The record is from RNAcentral.